RNAcentral lists this non-coding RNA (30 nucleotides) under Mus musculus (house mouse). The record is from RNAcentral. Lineage: Eukaryota; Metazoa; Chordata; Mammalia; Rodentia; Muridae.
UGCUAAGUCCUUGAGAUUCCCUGCAUGAGC